UUUGUUUCGACGCCGGACCGCGUAAGAGACGAUGAUGUUGGGCACCGAAGGUGGAGAGGGAUUCGUGGUGAAGGUCCGGGGCUUGCCCUGGUCUUGCUCGGCCGAUGAAGUGCAGAGGUUUUUUUCUGACUGCAAAAUUCAAAAUGGGGCUCAAGGUAUUCGUUUCAUCUACACCAGAGAAGGCAGACCAAGUGGCGAGGCUUUUGUUGAACUUGAAUCAGAAGAUGAAGUCAAAUUGGCCCUGAAAAAAGACAGAGAAACUAUGGGACACAGAUAUGUUGAAGUAUUCAAGUCAAACAACGUUGAAAUGGAUUGGGUGUUGAAGCAUACUGGUCCAAAUAGUCCUGACACGGCCAAUGAUGGCUUUGUACGGCUUAGAGGACUUCCCUUUGGAUGUAGCAAGGAAGAAAUUGUUCAGUUCUUCUCAGGAAAGUGCUUUAAGUCCUUUUUGUAAACUUGGGAAUGUAUCCACGGAAAGGAUUUUUCAUAGACGGAAUUUCCAGAAGUGAAUCAUAACUACUGUUAGAACAAGCAUGCAUGAUUGUGCUGUGUAGAUCAGUUUUGUUGAAAGUUUAGAUUGUUGUGUUUGUCAAUUAUAAUUUAAUGUUUCAGUUUUUAUAUGAAAUGUUUUAAAUGUAUACCUUUUUAAAUACUUGAAGUUCCAAUAACUUAAAGCAUUGAAAUAUAAAAUGAGGUAAAAGGUGUUUUGAAUUUAGUAAAACUGUUAUUUAAUGCUUAAAACUUAAUUGAAUUGUAUAAUUCUCAACAUUAAGUUGCAUAGAUGUGUUCUUAAGUUGUUGAAUUCUUAAUGCAUCCUGUGUUCAGCAAGUUUUUUUUUUAAUAUAUGCUGUACCACGGGUGUGUUAAGAAUAGUUAUACUUUAUAAUAAUGGAACUUCAUAUUAUUGCAAUGCAUAUUUAAAGAGUACUUGUUGAAAGCAUACCAUUCACCUAAAGUUAAAAAUUCUGGUUUAUUUAAAGCUAUAAGAAGAAUCA
RNAcentral lists this small RNA (995 nucleotides) under Pongo abelii (Sumatran orangutan). RNAcentral describes it as "processed transcript". The record is from RNAcentral. Lineage: Eukaryota; Metazoa; Chordata; Mammalia; Primates; Hominidae.